Molecule: ribosomal RNA, 846 nt
Filed under: uncultured archaeon
Lineage: Archaea
Description: bacterial SSU rRNA
Rfam family: Archaeal small subunit ribosomal RNA
Source: RNAcentral
UCCGGUUGAUCCUGCCGGACCCGACUGCUAUCAGAGUGGGACUAAGCCAUGCGAGUCAACGUAGUAAUACGUGGCGAACGGCUCAGUAACACGUAGUCAACAUGCCCAGAGGACGUGGAUAACCUCGGGAAACUGAGGAUAAACCGCGAUAGGCCAUGAUUUCUGGAAUGGUUCCUGGCUGAAGUCUAUAUGGCCUCUGGAUUGGACUGCGGCCGAUCAGGCUGUUGGUGAGGUAAUGGCCCACCAAACCUGUAACCGGUACGGGCUCUGAGAGGAGGAGCCCGGAGAUGGGUACUGAGAAAAGGACCCAGGCCCUAUGGGGCGCAGCAGGCGCGAAAUCUCUGCAAUAGGCGAAAGCUUGACAGGGCUACUCUGAGUGAUUCCCGCUAAGGGGAUCUUUUGGCACCUCUAAAAAUGGUGCAGAAUAAGGGGUGGGCAAGUCUGGUGUCAGCCGCCGCGGUAAUACCAGCACCCCGAGUGGUCGGGACGAUUAUUGGGCCUAAAGCAUCCGUAGCCGGUACUGCAAGUCUUCCGUUAAAUCCACCUGCUCAACAGUUGGGCUGCGGGGGAUACUACAGCGCUAGGAGGCGGGAGAGGCAAGCGGUACUCAGUGGGUAGGGGUAAAAUCCACUGAUCCAUUGAAGACCACCAGUGGCGAAGGCGGCUUGCCAGAACGCGCUCGACGGUGAGGGAUGAAAGCUGGGGGAGCAAACCGGAUUAGAUACCCGGGUAGUCCCAGCUGUAAACGAUGCAGACUCGGUGAUGGGCUGGCCUUGUGCCAACCCAGUGCCGCAGGGAAGCCGUUAAGUCUGCCGCCUGGGGAGUACGGUCGCAAGACGGAAACUU